This 251-nucleotide unclassified non-coding RNA is filed under the name Hevea brasiliensis (rubber tree). Lineage: Eukaryota; Viridiplantae; Streptophyta; Magnoliopsida; Malpighiales; Euphorbiaceae. The record is from RNAcentral.
UUUUUUUUUUUUUCUUUUUUUUAGUUUUGAAAAUUAAGCACCUAACUAUUAUUAUUUUGUGUGGUUAAAACAUUUAUGUUGUAUUUGGAUACAUGAAUUUGAAUCCAUGAAUUUUGAUUUAGAUCAAAUACCUUAUUUGGGAGGUUUAAAAAAUAUGGAUUUGAAUUUUGAUCAAAUCCAAGGUAAAUAUAAAGAUUUUAAAAAAGUAAGAAUUUAAAAUAACAAUCUUACCUAUGUUAUUUGAAAUUCAA